CCCGUCACAUCACGAAAGUGGGCUGUACUAGAAGUGGCUGAGCUAACUCGCAAGAGAGGCAGGUUACGACGGUAUGGUUCAUGAUUGGGGUG
This 92-nucleotide ribosomal RNA is filed under the name uncultured bacterium. RNAcentral's name for it is "partial 16S ribosomal RNA". The record is from RNAcentral.